This is an RNA transcript of Melospiza melodia melodia, 2350 nucleotides long. It is a transcript of the gene named collagen, type I, alpha 1a-like, with no coding region annotated. The record is from RefSeq and is a predicted model, not a curated record. NCBI's taxonomy places the organism in Eukaryota, Metazoa, Chordata, Aves, Passeriformes, Passerellidae. The transcript has 10 exons.
UGGUAAGUGUUGAUGGUAUUUCACUGCUGGAAGGAAGGAUACACAGAAUCCAGAGGCAGGAGGUGCCUGUGGAGAUGGGAUUGCUCUCCCAAAGAGAUUUGGCUGCUCCUGCAGGUGGGGAAGCUUUGCCCUUCUCCAGCUGCCUGACAGCACCUGGAAGAGUGAAGGCAUGGUGUGCUGGGCUCCUUACCUUGUCACCUGUGCCUGCUGUUGGAGGAUCCAUCUUCUGUGUGGGUGGCUCAGGGAGCCCUGGCCUCAGGAGCUGCACCAAGGGUGUCAUUCCCAGCUCUGGACAACGGAUGGCUGCCAAAGCUCCCUCAGAAGGGUGAGGCUGGGGAGUGGUAUUCCACAUGGAGCUGCUGCUUUGUGGCUCACCUUGGGGCUCCCAGCUCUGCACAGAUCCAUCCCCUCUGCUGUGGUGAGAUCCUGAUUGGGGCUGCAGCCAGGAUGGUCCCCUCCUGCCUCGGGAGAAUAUCCACAGCUUAAUUGUCAGCUCUGUGCUCAAGGGCAGGAAAAAUCACCAAACUCCUCCCAUCUUUGCCAAAAGCUUUGGUGUUUGGGCAGCCAAAGGCAAGAGGCCUCAGCACCAGGGCUCUGCUGGAGGGCUCUGGUCCUGCCCACGCUGUGGGUGAGCCAGGGCUGGCACAGGGAAUGGUGCAGGUGCAGGUCUGGCAGUGGAGCUGCUGCCCUUUGGAGCCAUUUUAAAGGCUGUCCUUGCUGGAGCACCCUGGUCCCUGCCAUCCCCUGGGACACAGAGGGAGCCCUGUCCCAAGUGGCUUUGGCACCUUGGCAGGAAUGUGGCAGCAGCCCCAGAGCAGCUGGAGGAGAAAACCUCCCAGCAGAGACAGAUUGCAAUGGAGGCCAGAGUUGUGUUUGGAGCAGGGAGUGCUGAGAGCUGCAUCUGCCUGUGCUGCCACAGCCUGAGCACAGCCUGGGAACAGCCUGGGAACGGGACUGGGGCAAUUUCUGAUGCCCAGUGAAAGAACACAAACUCAGCCCUUCAGCCUGACAGUCCCUCCACUGAGAGCUCAGCACACAUCCUCAGAGGUAAGUCCAGCAUCUGAAGGAAAAAAAAAAUCACAGUAGAAAAAGCACCAGCAGGGAAGGGACAAGAGGAUCCCUGUGGGAUGAGGCUGGAGAGAGCGAGCAGAGGAGCAGCCUCGGGCUGGAGAAGGGCAAAGGGACCAACAUGGUGUCACCAGGGCACCUGUGAGGAGCAGAAUGGACACCUGGAGGCCACAUGGAGGAAAGGGAUGCACAUCCCUGUCUUCAGCACACCUCCAGUGGGACCUACCUGUGAAAGCUUUCCACCACUUGUGCACUUGCAGCUGGAUCCUGAAAAACUCCAAACUCCAUCCCACUGAUUUCCAGGUAUCUCUGAGGGCUCCUGCCUGGGAUUCAGUAUCUGUGGGGGAAGAUUGCCUUGGCUGUAAUGCUGCUGAUGGAUGAUGGCCUCAGGCUGGGCAGGAGGGAAGGGAUUUGGGGUGGCUGGGACAUAGCUGGCAGCUGUGUGGGAGCUCUGAACCGGGAAUUGCUGCGUGAGCCCCUCUGCAAACAGCCUGUGCCUCCAUUCCCAGGUAAUGCCAGCUGCUCCUUGUGCUCCUUCCGGGCUCUUGGUGCUCUGUGUGGGCUGGGGCAUUUCCACGUGCCUGCUCAGAGCAGCCCCUGGCCCAGGAGCCACGGUGCAGGCACAGCUCCUCCUGCAGAUCCCACAGACACGAGGGGCUGCUGCCUUCAGGAGCUUCUGGCUCCUCCUGCCCUGCGCUCCCAGCCCGCUGGGACACCCUGAGGGAACACCAAGGAGCACGGCUGGCAGCGAGCAGGAGACACCGAGGCCUCUGGGCCCAGAAACAGCCCCGGCCCCAGCAGCCACCGUCACUUUGAGCUGGCAACGCUCACCUGCAGGAAACGCCCCCUGCCACUCUCCAGAGGAACCCUCAGGAGCUGUCUGGUUCACUUCUUCCUGGGGAAACAAAGGGACAUUGUGUGAGCACAUUUACAUCUGCUGGGUAAAUCCUGGAAAGGGCAGAACAAUCAGGGUCAUGGGGAAGAGUUUGGUGCUGACAGGUGAGUGCCAGCCAGUUCUGCCCUAGAGCCAUUGCAGGGGCUGGUGUGUAAAGCAGCAUUCACAGAAGGGAAGGAGCUGCAUUUGUAGAGGAGCUCUCUUACUGGCAGCAGUCAUUCCCAUCCCACACAGGACUUUGGAGCAAUUUGGGAUUGGCUCAGGUGAUUGGAGCAGGGUGCUGACAAGGCCAAAAUUCUGUGAUCAAUGCGCAGCUGGGCCGGUCACUCCUCAGCAUUUAACUCGAUGAUCCUCACAGCUCUGGAAAUAAAGAGCAAAGAGUUUUCA